GAUGAAGAACGUAGUGAAAUGCGAUAAGUAAUGUGAAUUGCAGAAUUCAGUGAAUCAUCGAAUCUUUGAACGCACAUUGCGCCCGCCAGUAUUCUGGCGGGCAUGCCUGUCCGAGCGUCAUUUCAACCAUCAAGCCCCGGGCUUGUGUUGGGGACCUGCGUCCGACGCAGGCCCUGAAAACCAGUGGCGGGCUCGCUGUCCACACCGAGCGUAGUAACUAACCUCGCUAUGGAGUGGCGCGGGCGCCUGCCGUAAAACCCCCAAUUUCACAAGGUUGACCUCGGAUCAGGUAGGAAUACCCGCUGAACUUAAGCAUAUCAAUAAGCGGAGGA
RNAcentral lists this unclassified non-coding RNA (332 nucleotides) under soil metagenome. RNAcentral describes it as "partial contains 5.8S ribosomal RNA, internal transcribed spacer 2, and large subunit ribosomal RNA". The stretch from base 1 to 120 matches the Rfam family "5.8S ribosomal RNA", at positions 35 to 154 of the family's 154-position model. The record is from RNAcentral.